GCCUGGGUGGCUUAGUCGGUUAAGUGUCUGACUUUGGCUCAGGUCACGAUCUCACGGUUCGUGGGUUCAAGCCCCGUGUCAGGCU
RNAcentral lists this transfer RNA (85 nucleotides) under Felis catus (domestic cat). It matches the Rfam family "tRNA". From Rfam's summary of the family: Transfer RNA (tRNA) molecules are approximately 80 nucleotides in length. The record is from Rfam by way of RNAcentral. Lineage: Eukaryota; Metazoa; Chordata; Mammalia; Carnivora; Felidae.